GAAAGAUUAGUUUAUUAAAAACAUUUGUCUGUCAGAUUUAAAAAACUAAGUUGAUGGUAUUUUUCU
This 66-nucleotide transfer RNA is filed under the name Aleeta curvicosta. RNAcentral describes it as "tRNA-Asp". The record is from RNAcentral. Lineage: Eukaryota; Metazoa; Arthropoda; Insecta; Hemiptera; Cicadidae.